UACAUGGGGUGCAAACGUUGCUCGGAAUUAUUGGGCGUAAAGCGCACGUAGGCGGUUCGUUAAGUCGGAUGUGAAAGCCCUCGGCUCAACUGAGGAAGUGCACCCGAAACUGGCGAGCUUGAGUACGAAAGAGGAUCGCGGAAUUCCCGGUGUAGAGGUGAAAUUCGUAGAUAGUCGGGAGGAACGACCGGUGGCGAAGGCGGGUCUCUGGGCCGAUACUGACGCUGAGGAGCGAAAGCGUGGGGAGCGAACAGG
This 255-nucleotide ribosomal RNA is filed under the name uncultured bacterium. RNAcentral describes it as "partial 16S ribosomal RNA". It matches the Rfam family "Bacterial small subunit ribosomal RNA", at positions 524 to 776 of the family's 1533-position model. The record is from RNAcentral.